GCCAUAGUUCCUCAAUAGCUAAACUCAUGUUUCUGUUCCUCUCUUUUGCCUUAGCUCCCAGAGCUGCUUACACCUGCUUGGCUGAUUUCCCUGGGCUGUGCUGAGGAGUGAGAGAGGGUGAGAGGAGUUGGUACUAAUGCGAUUCAUCUCCCUUCUAUACCCCAGCAUACAAUGGGAAAGGCCUGAUUUUCACCAUCACCUACAGUACCAGGGACAUGCACCUGAUACGAAUCCCAGGGUUAGAAUCCUUCCUCGUCCAACUCCCAGAACUACUAUUUCAGUUUGGAGAUUAAGGAAGCUAUUUCUGCAUAAAUUACAACCGGAUCGCUUUCUUGAUUCUCAUAUUUCUUAGAUUUUUUCCAACACAAGGUCACAAUUUUUAUUAUAAUGAGCACAGGUAAUUUGUCUUGUCCCCUGUAACUCCAGGAAAUGUCUUUAACAGGAUGCACCUAGUUUUUUUGUACCUCAACCCUACCAUAUUGAAUAUUAUGAUUUAUCAGACACAUAAACAUAUAUGUUCUUGGUUUGUGUGUUGUUUGUGAGAUACUGCAAGAAUAUGUACAUUUUGCCUUAUUUUUAGACUAUAAUUUUGCAAACAUAUUUAAUGUAUUUUAACUUUCUUGAGAGUUUGAUAUGUGGAAACUGAGUAGUUUUAAUAUACAGAUAUUUGAACUAAAAUAAAUGAUAACAAUUGUCCGUUAAUUGUCA
This 708-nucleotide long non-coding RNA is filed under the name Anas platyrhynchos platyrhynchos (common mallard). RNAcentral describes it as "lncRNA (ENSAPLG00000021507.1)". Lineage: Eukaryota; Metazoa; Chordata; Aves; Anseriformes; Anatidae. The record is from RNAcentral.